GCUCCCGUAGCAGAGUGGCCAUGCACCCACAGGGUCCCCGCCACUUGCGCGCGUUUGUCGGGGCGGUGCCGCGGCACCGAACGCCGGUUCGAGUCCGGCCGGGAGCGCCA
RNAcentral lists this transfer RNA (110 nucleotides) under Caudoviricetes sp. RNAcentral describes it as "tRNA-OTHER". The record is from RNAcentral. Lineage: Duplodnaviria; Heunggongvirae; Uroviricota; Caudoviricetes.